CUAUUCAAGAUGGAGACGCCCUGGUUCAGACGCCUCUGACAGAUGCUCCAAGAUGAUGUGAAGCAAAUUUCACGACUAACGAUGGCCCGAAGGCUCCUUCCCUCCACGGGAUUCUGCUCCAGCCACAGCAGAGACUAUUUUGCACACCUUCCAGACAUUGCUGCCCCAUUCCAGAUACAAGUGCCCUUCUUGUCUCAUGGACUCAAUCAGGAGAUAUGAAGAUUGACAACUGAUUGGCAAAAGUGAAGUCACUGUGUGACCUGUCCUGAAAAGAUGGUGGCUGCAUCUAGAAACAGUGACGUGUUUGGGGAACAAUGGAGUAGAGUCAGAGACGCACCUACUAAGACAUUUUGGCUGCUGGGCACCUGAACAUGAGCAAUGUGAAGCUUCCGGUGCGUGUUUCCAUAGAGAGUUUUCUGAUAAUGUGUCAGUUAUUUUUAGCCACAAAACACUAUAAGACAAC
Molecule: long non-coding RNA, 463 nt
Organism: Homo sapiens (human)
Lineage: Eukaryota; Metazoa; Chordata; Mammalia; Primates; Hominidae
Source: Ensembl